GAUGAACGCUGGCGGCGUGCCUAAUACAUGCAAGUCGAACGCUGGAAAUCUAGCUUGCUAGAUUGAAGGAGUGGCGAACGGGUGAGUAAUACAUAAGCAACCUACCCACGAAGACUGGGAUAAUCUCUGGAAACGGGGACUAAUACCGGAUAGGUAAUCGGAAGGCAUCUUCUGAUUAUUAAAGGUUAAAAACACUGGUGGAUGGGCUUAUGGCGCAUUAGUUAGUUGGUGAGGUAACGGCCCACCAAGACGAUGAUGCGUAGCCGGCCUGAGAGGGUGAACGGCCACAUUGGGACUGAGACACAGCCCAGACUCCUACGGGAGGCAGCAGUAGGGAAUUUUCGGCAAUGGGGGAAACCCUGACCGAGCAACGCCGCGUGAGUGAUGACGGCCUUCGGGUUGUAAAGCUCUGUUGUAAGGGAAGAACGGUAGAUAGAGAAUAUCUAAAUGACGGUACCUUACCAGAAAGCCACGGCUAACUACGUG
This 486-nucleotide ribosomal RNA is filed under the name uncultured bacterium. RNAcentral describes it as "partial 16S ribosomal RNA". It matches the Rfam family "Bacterial small subunit ribosomal RNA", at positions 28 to 507 of the family's 1533-position model. The record is from RNAcentral.